UACGUAGGCAGCAAGCGUUGUUCGGGGUUACUGGGCGUAAAGAGUAUGUAGGCGGUUGGGUAAGUUUGGUGUGAAAUCUCCCGGCUUAACUGGGAGGGUGCGCUAAAGACUGCCUGGCUCGAGUGUGGGAGAGGAAAGCGGAAUUCCUGGUGUAGCGGUGAAAUGCGUAGAUAUCAGGAGGAACACCUGCGGUGUAGACGGCUUUCUGGACCAUAACUGACGCUGAGAUACGAAAGCGUGGGUAGCAAACAGG
RNAcentral lists this ribosomal RNA (253 nucleotides) under uncultured prokaryote. RNAcentral's name for it is "partial 16S ribosomal RNA". It matches the Rfam family "Bacterial small subunit ribosomal RNA", at positions 524 to 776 of the family's 1533-position model. The record is from RNAcentral.